UACGGAGGGUGCAAACGUUGCUCGGAAUCAUUGGGCGUAAAGCGCACGUAGGCGGCUAGAUAAGUCGGGUGUGAAAGCCCUGGGCUCAACCCAGGAAGUGCAUUCGAAACUGUCUAGCUUGAAUCUCGGAGGGGGUCAGAGAAUUCCCGGUGUAGAGGUGAAAUUCGUAGAUAUCGGGGAGGAAUACCAGUGGCGAAGGCGCUGACCUGGACGAAGAUUGACGCUGAGGUGCGAAAGCGCGGGGAGCAAACAGG
This 254-nucleotide ribosomal RNA is filed under the name uncultured bacterium. Its description in RNAcentral is "partial 16S ribosomal RNA". It matches the Rfam family "Bacterial small subunit ribosomal RNA", at positions 524 to 776 of the family's 1533-position model. The record is from RNAcentral.